This 478-nucleotide ribosomal RNA is filed under the name uncultured bacterium. Its description in RNAcentral is "partial 16S ribosomal RNA". It matches the Rfam family "Bacterial small subunit ribosomal RNA", at positions 28 to 523 of the family's 1533-position model. The record is from RNAcentral.
GACGAACGCUGGCGGCAUGCCUAACACAUGCAAGUCGAGCGAGCAGAUCCCUUCGGGGUGAAGCUAGCGGCGGACGGGUGAGUAACACGUGGGCAACCUGCCUCAUAGAGGGGAAUAGCCUUCCGAAAGGAAGAUUAAUACCGCAUAAGAUUGUAGCUUCGCAUGAAGCAGUAAUUAAAGGAGCAAUCCGCUAUGAGAUGGGCCCGCGGCGCAUUAGCUAGUUGGGGAGGUAACGGCUCACCAAGGCGACGAUGCGUAGCCGACCUGAGAGGGUGAUCGGCCACAUGGGGACUGGGACACGGCCCAGCAUCCUACGGGAGGCAGCAGUGGGGAAUAUUGCACAAUGGGGGAAACCCUGAUGCAGCAAUGCCGCGUGAGUGAUGACGGCCUUCGGGUUGUAAAGCUCUGUCUUUGGGGACGAUAAUGACGGUACCCGAGGAGGAAGCCACGGCUAACUACGUGCCAGCAGCCGCCGUAA